GAUGAACGCUGGCGGCGUGCUUAACACAUGCAAGUCGAGCGGAGAUAAAUUGAAAGCUUGCUUUUAAUUUAUCUUAGCGGCGGACGGGUGAGUAACGUGUGGGCAACCUGCCUCAUACAGAGGGAUAAUCAUGUGAAAACGUGACUAAUACCGCAUGUCGUUUCGGGAGGGCAUCCUCCUGAAAGAAAAGGAGCAAUCCGGUAUGAGAUGGGCCCGCAUCUGAUUAGCUAGUUGGUGAGAUAACAGGCCACCAAGGCGACGAUCAGUAGCCGACCUGAGAGGGUGAUCGGCCACAUUGGGACUGAGACACGGCCCAAACUCCUACGGGAGGCAGCAGUGGGGAAUAUUGGGCAAUGGGCGCAAGCCUGACCCAGCAACGCCGCGUGAAGGAAGAAGGCUUUCGGGUUGUAAACUUCUUUUAAGAGGGAGGAGCAGAAGACUGUACCUCUAGAAUAAGCCACGGCUAACUACGUGCCAGCCGCCGCGGUAA
This 490-nucleotide ribosomal RNA is filed under the name uncultured bacterium. RNAcentral's name for it is "partial 16S ribosomal RNA". It matches the Rfam family "Bacterial small subunit ribosomal RNA", at positions 28 to 523 of the family's 1533-position model. The record is from RNAcentral.